This 995-nucleotide ribosomal RNA is filed under the name Klebsiella pneumoniae. RNAcentral describes it as "bacterial SSU rRNA". It matches the Rfam family "Bacterial small subunit ribosomal RNA", at positions 80 to 1078 of the family's 1533-position model. The record is from RNAcentral. Lineage: Bacteria; Pseudomonadati; Pseudomonadota; Gammaproteobacteria; Enterobacterales; Enterobacteriaceae.
GCUCUCGGGUGACGAGCGGCGGACGGGUGAGUAAUGUCUGGGAAACUGCCUGAUGGAGGGGGAUAACUACUGGAAACGGUAGCUAAUACCGCAUAAUGUCGCAAGACCAAAGUGGGGGACCUUCGGGCCUCAUGCCAUCAGAUGUGCCCAGAUGGGAUUAGCUAGUAGGUGGGGUAACGGCUCACCUAGGCGACGAUCCCUAGCUGGUCUGAGAGGAUGACCAGCCACACUGGAACUGAGACACGGUCCAGACUCCUACGGGAGGCAGCAGUGGGGAAUAUUGCACAAUGGGCGCAAGCCUGAUGCAGCCAUGCCGCGUGUGUGAAGAAGGCCUUCGGGUUGUAAAGCACUUUCAGCGGGGAGGAAGGCGUUAAGGUUAAUAACCUUGUCGAUUGACGUUACCCGCAGAAGAAGCACCGGCUAACUCCGUGCCAGCAGCCGCGGUAAUACGGAGGGUGCAAGCGUUAAUCGGAAUUACUGGGCGUAAAGCGCACGCAGGCGGUCUGUCAAGUCGGAUGUGAAAUCCCCGGGCUCAACCUGGGAACUGCAUUCGAAACUGGCAGGCUAGAGUCUUGUAGAGGGGGGUAGAAUUCCAGGUGUAGCGGUGAAAUGCGUAGAGAUCUGGAGGAAUACCGGUGGCGAAGGCGGCCCCCUGGACAAAGACUGACGCUCACGUGCGAAAGCGUGGGGAGCAAACAGGAUUAGAUACCCUGGUAGUCCACGCCGUAAACGAUGUCGAUUUGGAGGUUGUGCCCUUGAGGCGUGGCUUCCGGAGCUAACGCGUUAAAUCGACCGCCUGGGGAGUACGGCCGCAAGGUUAAAACUCAAAUGAAUUUGACGGGGGCCCGCACAAGCGGUGAGCAUGUGAUUUAAUUCGAUGCACGCGAAGAACCUUACCUGGUCUUGACAUCCACAGAACUUUCCAGAGAUGGAUUGGUGCCUUCGGGACUGUGAGACAGUGCUGCAUGCUGUCGUCAGCUCUGUGUGAAUGUUGG